This 252-nucleotide ribosomal RNA is filed under the name uncultured bacterium. RNAcentral's name for it is "partial 16S ribosomal RNA". It matches the Rfam family "Bacterial small subunit ribosomal RNA", at positions 524 to 776 of the family's 1533-position model. The record is from RNAcentral.
UACGUAGGGGGCUAGCGUUGUCCGGAAUCAUUGGGCGUAAAGCGCGUGUAGGCGGUCCGGUAAGUCCGCUGUGAAACUCGAGGCUCAACCUCGAGACGCCGGUGGAAACUGCAAAGCUAGAGUCCGGAAGAGGAGAGUGGAAUUCCUGGUGUAGCGGUGAAAUGCGCAGAUAUCAGGAGGAACACCCGUGGCGAAAGCGGCUCUCUGGGACGGUACUGACGCUGAGACGCGAAAGCGUGGGGAGCAAACAGG